AGGACGAACGCUGGCGGCGUGCUUAACACAUGCAAGUCGAGCGGAAAGGCCCUUCGGGGUACUCGAGCGGCGAACGGGUGAGUAACACGUGAGCAACCUGCCCUUAGCUCCGGGAUAGCUCCGGGAAACCGGAAUUAAUACCGGAUAUGACCUAGGCCGACAUCGGCUGUGGUGGAAAGUUUUUCGGCUGGGGAUGGACUCGCGGCCUAUCAGCUUGUUGGUGGGGUAAUGGCCUACCAAGGCGACGACGGGUAGCCGGCCUGAGAGGGGCGAGUCGGCCGACACUGGGACUGAGACACGGCCCAGACUCCUACGGGAGGCAGCAGUGGGGAAUAUUGCACAAUGGGCGCAAGCCUGAUGCAGCGACGCCGCGUGGGGGAUGAAGGCCUUCGGGUUGUAAACCCCUUUCACCAGGAGCGAAUUCAGACGGUACCUGGGGAAGAAGCGCCGGCUAACUACGUGCCAGCAGCCGC
This 473-nucleotide ribosomal RNA is filed under the name uncultured bacterium. Its description in RNAcentral is "SSU rRNA". It matches the Rfam family "Bacterial small subunit ribosomal RNA", at positions 26 to 518 of the family's 1533-position model. The record is from RNAcentral.